RNAcentral lists this ribosomal RNA (1315 nucleotides) under Escherichia coli. RNAcentral's name for it is "partial 23S ribosomal RNA". It matches the Rfam family "Bacterial large subunit ribosomal RNA", at positions 1614 to 2903 of the family's 2925-position model. Lineage: Bacteria; Pseudomonadati; Pseudomonadota; Gammaproteobacteria; Enterobacterales; Enterobacteriaceae. The record is from RNAcentral.
AAAGCCUCUAAGCAUCAGGUAACAUCAAAUCGUACCCCAAACCGACACAGGUGGUCAGGUAGAGAAUACCAAGGCGCUUGAGAGAACUCGGGUGAAGGAACUAGGCAAAAUGGUGCCGUAACUUCGGGAGAAGGCACGCUGAUAUGUAGGUGAAGCGACUUGCUCGUGGAGCUGAAAUCAGUCGAAGAUACCAGCUGGCUGCAACUGUUUAUUAAAAACACAGCACUGUGCAAACACGAAAGUGGACGUAUACGGUGUGACGCCUGCCCGGUGCCGGAAGGUUAAUUGAUGGGGUUAGCGGUAACGCGAAGCUCUUGAUCGAAGCCCCGGUAAACGGCGGCCGUAACUAUAACGGUCCUAAGGUAGCGAAAUUCCUUGUCGGGUAAGUUCCGACCUGCACGAAUGGCGUAAUGAUGGCCAGGCUGUCUCCACCCGAGACUCAGUGAAAUUGAACUCGCUGUGAAGAUGCAGUGUACCCGCGGCAAGACGGAAAGACCCCGUGAACCUUUACUAUAGCUUGACACUGAACAUUGAGCCUUGAUGUGUAGGAUAGGUGGGAGGCUUUGAAGUGUGGACGCCAGUCUGCAUGGAGCCGACCUUGAAAUACCACCCUUUAAUGUUUGAUGUUCUAACGUUGGCCCGUAAUCCGGGUUGCGGACAGUGUCUGGUGGGUAGUUUGACUGGGGCGGUCUCCUCCUAAAGAGUAACGGAGGAGCACGAAGGUUGGCUAAUCCUGGUCGGACAUCAGGAGGUUAGUGCAAUGGCAUAAGCCAGCUUGACUGCGAGCGUGACGGCGCGAGCAGGUGCGAAAGCAGGUCAUAGUGAUCCGGUGGUUCUGAAUGGAAGGGCCAUCGCUCAACGGAUAAAAGGUACUCCGGGGAUAACAGGCUGAUACCGCCCAAGAGUUCAUAUCGACGGCGGUGUUUGGCACCUCGAUGUCGGCUCAUCACAUCCUGGGGCUGAAGUAGGUCCCAAGGGUAUGGCUGUUCGCCAUUUAAAGUGGUACGCGAGCUGGGUUUAGAACGUCGUGAGACAGUUCGGUCCCUAUCUGCCGUGGGCGCUGGAGAACUGAGGGGGGCUGCUCCUAGUACGAGAGGACCGGAGUGGACGCAUCACUGGUGUUCGGGUUGUCAUGCCAAUGGCACUGCCCGGUAGCUAAAUGCGGAAGAGAUAAGUGCUGAAAGCAUCUAAGCACGAAACUUGCCCCGAGAUGAGUUCUCCCUGAGACUUAGAGUCUCCUGAAGGAACGUUGAAGACGACGACGUUGAUAGGCCGGGUGUGUAAGCGCAGCGAUGCGUUGAGCUAACCGGUACUA